UUAGUGGAAGCGUCUGGAAAGGCGCGCGAUACAGGGUGACAGCCCCGUACACAAAAGCGCAUGUGCUGUGAGCUCGAUGAGUAGGGCGGGACACGUGGUAUCCUGUCUGAAUAUGGGGGGACCAUCCUCCAAGGCUAAAUACUCCUGACUGACCGAUAGUGAACCAGUACCGUGAGGGAAAGGCGAAAAGAACCCCGGCGAGGGGAGUGAAAAAGAACCUGAAACCGUGUACGUACAAGCAGUGGGAGCCCCACCACUAAGCCAGUGGUGAACUCCACAUACGCAUCCUUUGCUGAGGAUACGGUUAACGGAGCGAAAGCGACGUUCAACCGCAAAAGAAGCAGAGGGGGCUUAGUGGUGGGGUGACUGCGUACCUUUUGUAUAAUGGGUCAGCGACUUAUAUUCUGUAGCAAGGUUAACCGWAUAGGGGAGCCGSAGGGAAACCGAGUCUUAACCGGGCGUUAAGUUGCAGGGUAUAGACCCGAAACCCGGUGAUCUAGCCAUGGGCAGGUUGAAGGUUGGGUAACACUAACUGGAGGACCGAACCGACUAAUGUUGAAAAAUUAGCGGAUGACCUGUGGCUGGGGGUGAAAGGCCAAUCAAACCGGGAGAUAGCUGGUUCUCCCCGAAAGCUAUUUAGGUAGCGCCUCGUGAAUUCAUCUCCGGGGGUAGAGCACUGUUUCGG
This 685-nucleotide ribosomal RNA is filed under the name Salmonella enterica. RNAcentral describes it as "partial 23S ribosomal RNA". The record is from RNAcentral. Lineage: Bacteria; Pseudomonadati; Pseudomonadota; Gammaproteobacteria; Enterobacterales; Enterobacteriaceae.